Molecule: ribosomal RNA, 253 nt
Filed under: uncultured bacterium
Lineage: Bacteria
Description: partial 16S ribosomal RNA
Rfam family: Bacterial small subunit ribosomal RNA
Source: RNAcentral
UACGAAGGGUGCAAGCGUUAAUCGGAAUUAUUGGGCGUAAAGAGCUCGUAGGCGGCCAGUUGCGUCUGCUGUGAAAUCCCGGGGCUCAACCCCGGGCGUGCAGUGGAUACGGGCUGGCUAGAGGCAGGCAGGGGAGAACGGAAUUCCCGGUGUAGCGGUGAAAUGCGCAGAUAUCGGGAGGAACACCGGUGGCGAAGGCGGUUCUCUGGGCCUGUACUGACGCUGAGGAGCGAAAGCGUGGGGAGCGAACAGG